RNAcentral lists this ribosomal RNA (254 nucleotides) under uncultured bacterium. RNAcentral's name for it is "partial 16S ribosomal RNA". It matches the Rfam family "Bacterial small subunit ribosomal RNA", at positions 524 to 776 of the family's 1533-position model. The record is from RNAcentral.
UACGUAGGGUGCGAGCGUUGUCCGGAAUUAUUGGGCGUAAAGAGCUCGUAGGCGGUGUGUCGCGUCGGCCGUGAAAACCUGGGGCUCAACUCUGGGCGUGCGGUCGAUACGGGCAUCACUUGAGUUCGGCAGGGGAGACUGGAAUUCCUGGUGUAGCGGUGAAAUGCGCAGAUAUCGGGAGGAACACCAAUUGCGAAGGCAGCUCGCUGGGACGUCACUGACGCUGAGACGCGAAAGCGUGGGGAGCAAACAGG